AUAACUAUACGAAUCGCACGGCCUUGCGCCGGCGAUGGUUCAUUCAAAUUUCUUCCCUAUCAACUUUCGAUGUUUGGGUAUUGGCCAAACAUGGUUGCAACGGGUAACGGAGGGUUAGGGCUCGACCCCGGAGAAGGAGCCUGAGAAACGGCUACUACAUCCAAGGAAGGCAGCAGGCGCGCAAAUUACCCAAUCCCGACUCGGGGAGGUAGUGACAAUAAAUACUGAUACAGGGCCCUUUCGGGCCUUGUAAUUGGAAUGAGUACAAUUUAAAUCCCUUAACGAGGAACAAUUGGAGGGCAAGUCUGGUGCCAGCAGCCGCGGUAAUUCCAGCUCCAAUAGCGUAUAUUAAAGUUGUUGUGGUUAAAAAGCUCGUAGUUGAACCUUGGGCCUGGCUGGCCGGUCCGCCUCACCGCGUGCACUGGUCCGGCCGGGCCUUUCCCUCUGUGGAACCCCAUACCCUUCACUGGGCGUGGCGGGGAAACAGGACAUUUACUUUGAAAAAAUUAGAGUGCUCCAGGCAGGCCUAUGCUCGAAUACAUUAGCAUGGAAUAAUAAAAUAGGACGCGCGGUUCUAUUUUGUUGGUUUAUAGGACCGCCGUAAUGAUUAAUAGGGACAGUCGGGGGCAUCAGUAUUCAACUGUCAGAGGUGAAAUUCUUGGAUCAGUUGAAGACUAACUACUGCGAAAGCAUUUGCCAAGGAUG
Molecule: ribosomal RNA, 705 nt
Filed under: Sarocladium sp.
Lineage: Eukaryota; Fungi; Ascomycota; Sordariomycetes; Hypocreales; Sarocladiaceae
Description: SSU rRNA
Rfam family: Eukaryotic small subunit ribosomal RNA
Source: RNAcentral